UCCAACUUUUCUUUUAUUUCCUUCUAUGUCCUUCCUCCAUUGUUAAACCAUCCAAGCUCCAAACUUUUAUUUUCUUUGAAAUUUCUUUAGUAAAGCUAAAAAGAAGACUAGUGAGCAACUUUAUUCCAUGAGGGAACUUACAUAGAUGGGUUAAAAGAGAUAAAUACAUGAGUUAGGGUUUUGGGUUUUCAAAAAGUCAAAGUAAGGAUGAUGGAAAUUCUCAUAAGAUACAUGUUUAUUAUCAUAAUCUAGCAUAGAAAAGUUAUUUGAUUUUUAAUUUUAACUUAUAAAUGUUAUAUGUUGUUAUGAAAUUGAAGAAAAAGAGAAAAAGUUUGAGGACAAAAGUGAAGGGAAAGGAAAAGAAGUGGCCAAUGAGUAGAAGAGAAGAAAAACUCAUCAUCUAAAUAUUGGUUGUAAGUACUUCAAGUAGUAAUUUUGUUUAAGUUAUGUUAAUUAAAUAAUUAUGUUAAUUAAGUAGUUUAAUUAUUAAAUUAAUGAUAUCAUAAUAAGUAUUUAGUAGGGGUAAGUAAUGUAAAUGUUACGAAUUUUGAUUUUAGUGUACCAUUAUAUGAUGUAUUGUGGUGGUAAUGAAAAGGACUAAAUUGAAAGAAAUUAAAAUAUGUUAUGAUAUUAUGAAUAUAUAGAUAGUGAGUUUAAAUGAAGUGAUGUAAAAUAUUAUAGUAUUGUAUGUGGUAAAAAUGAAGAGAAUUUACAAGUUUUAGUGUUAUUAUAAUGAUAAGGACUAAAUUGUAAAAAAUACAAAGUUAUAUUAUUUUCUGUCAAGUGAAUGAAUAAAAAGAUUUAAUAAUAAGAAAAGCUCAUAUAGACGAGUCCCGAACUAUUGGGAUAUUGAUGGCAUGUCAUUAAGGAAAAAUAGCGCGUUUAUCAUAUUAUUUCGCACUUCAGUGCUUAUUGUUGUAAAAUAUGCACUUUGGUGCUUAUCGUUAUUUGCACUUCGUACUUAGUAAUAUGUGACAUGCAUUAAUAAUGCAUUAUCGAUUUAUUUCCGGAUAUCCUAAGUGUUUAGCUAGUCUACAUUGGGCUACAGUGUCGUACUUCUGCUAUUAUCAAUUAAUGGGUUACUGUAAGUAAUGCUAAGUGUGAUUUUUAAGAAAAAUAUAUUAAACUUUAGGGACUAAUUUGAUGAGAAUUAUAUGUAUAUAAAAUGGAAAAAAAUUUAUUUUAUAUUAUUAAUAACAGUAGAUUUUAAAAAUCUUGAAGUACUUACUAAGUCUUCACAGACUUACCGCGUUAAUUCUCUAACGCGUAGGUGAGGUAGAUCCGUUUCGGCUAAUAUUGAGGUCGUGUGAAUCUCAUCUCAUCACCAUUCCAAGAUGCAAGAUUGUAUGUAUGAAUUUUGGGGUUAGUAUAGCAUGUACAUAGGUUUUUGGUAUAGGUGAAUGUUAGAUGGACUAAAAUGCAAAUUUUGGAAACCUUUUU
This 1440-nucleotide long non-coding RNA is filed under the name Gossypium raimondii (Peruvian cotton). RNAcentral describes it as "long non-coding RNA (GRAI_LNC006797)". Lineage: Eukaryota; Viridiplantae; Streptophyta; Magnoliopsida; Malvales; Malvaceae. The record is from RNAcentral.